RNA transcript from Salmo salar (Atlantic salmon), 1691 nucleotides. It is a transcript of the gene named phakinin, with no coding region annotated. The record is from RefSeq and is a predicted model, not a curated record. NCBI's taxonomy places the organism in Eukaryota, Metazoa, Chordata, Actinopteri, Salmoniformes, Salmonidae.
GGAGAACAAUAAGCCCCUCUGCUUUCCAGAAGCUCAGGCCACAAUAAAGAGCCAUGCGCACAGGGACCACGGCUGUUUGACACGAUCAGGCCACCGAAAAGAUUCUUAAGCCUCUCAACGAUGUCCAUGCAGGGUGACUAGCCUUCUUCUGACACCCACACACCCUGCUCUCUCCCAUCUCAUACCCGCAUUGUCCAAGAACGAGGGCCAUGCCUCUGCCGAGACGUCGAUCCUCCUUCCUGAACCAACCUGCCGCCAAGGAGCGCCCAGGUAGUGCCAACACCAGGGUUGGCACCGCAGGCAUCACCAAUGCCCCCCGGGGCGUCUUUGUGGGGACGGCCCCCACGGGCGUCACCUCCAGCAUGGGCACGCGAGUGUCGCGACGCGCCCUGGGCAUCAGCAGUGUGUUCCUGCAGGGGCUGAGGAGCACGGCCGUGCCUGUGAUGCCCCACGGGGUCGGGACCGGUGGCAGGCAGUACCCCGGGGGUGCCGAGAGCCUCAACAGCUGCCUGAUGGAGUACAGGGACAAGGUGCGCGCCCUGGAGCAGCUCAACCAGCAGCUGGAGGAGCAGAUCAAACACUGCCUGGAUCGUAAGGCGUCCAGCGCCGGAGCCUGGGGCCCCCUCAGACAAGACUGGGAGGAUGUUUACAGACAUGUUAGUGAGUCCAUCCUUGCCAAUGCCAGGCUAAUGCUGCAGACAGAGAAUGUGCAGGCCAACGCUGAGGACUUCAAGGACCGGUAUGAGAAUGAACAGCCAUUCAGGAAGGCGAUGGAGGAGGAGAUCAGUUCUCUGUACAAGGUGAUUGACGACGCCAACCUGACCAAGUCGGACCUGGAGAGCCAGAUGGACAGCAUGAGGGCUGAGCUUCGGGACAUGGCCUGCAACCACGAGGAGGACGUGAGGGUGCUCUACAAGCAGAUGGCAGGUGGCGAGAUGGACGAGCCGGACGCUCCCAUUGAGACCAAUCUGGACCAGAUACUGGCCUACAUUCGCUCCCACUGGGAAAGAGUCAUCGAGAAGAACCGUGCCGAGACCGACGCCUAUCUGGAAUGCAAGCAGGCGGAGAGUGUGGGCAGUAAACUGAGCCGUGAGGAGGAAGAGCUGGAGAGUCUGAAGACAGAGUGUAACGAUGCUGGCUGUAAGAUCCAGAGUCUGCAGGCCCAAACUGAGUCCAUCAGAGCACUGAAGCGAGGUCUGGAGAACUCCCUGAACGACGCCAGGCAUUGGCACGACAUCGAGCUGCAGAACCUGGGAUCCGUCAUUGGCAAGCUGGAGUCGGAGCUGGGUGACGUCCACGGCGACAUCGAACAACAGCGUCGCGACUAUGAGACGUUGCUGAGCAACAAAAUGCGUCUGGAGCUGGAAAUCGGCACCUACCACGGCAUCUUGGACGGGGAGGAGAGCCGCUACCACCCCUCCAUGUGAGUAGGGUUAGGGUAGCUAACUUCAAAAGGUGCACAGGUGCAUCAGAGCCCAAGGGGAAACAAUCUCCCCUUCCUCCCCUUUCAGAGCCCUAUGGCAGCCCAGCCCUCCAAGGCUCCAACACAUCUAGUCCCUAGUGGAAGGACUUUGGACCAUUUGGGGAAUGAAGCUCUCACACCGUUGUUCUCCAAGGUAUCUGUGCAAAGUUUCAUUUUGAAACCAUGUUUUUACUACAGAGUUGAAUAAAAUCGAAACCUCGGCAAGAAA